RNAcentral lists this ribosomal RNA (253 nucleotides) under uncultured bacterium. Its description in RNAcentral is "partial 16S ribosomal RNA". It matches the Rfam family "Bacterial small subunit ribosomal RNA", at positions 524 to 776 of the family's 1533-position model. The record is from RNAcentral.
UACGUAGGGGGCUAGCGUUGUCCGGAAUCAUUGGGCGUAAAGCGCGUGUAGGCGGUCCGGUAAGACCGCUGUGAAAGUCGGGGGCUCAACCCUCGAAUGCCGGUGGAUACUGUCGGGCUAGAGUGCGGAAGGGGCGAGUGGAAUUCCUGGUGUAGCGGUGAAAUGCGCAGAUAUCAGGAGGAACACCGGUGGCGAAGGCGGGUCUCUGGGCCGAUACUGACGCUGAGGAGCGAAAGCGUGGGGAGCAAACAGG